GGGCCCGCACAAGCGGCGGAGCAUGCGGAUUAAUUCGAUGCAACGCGAAGAACCUUACCAAGGCUUGACAUACACGAGAACACCCUAGAAAUAGGGGACUCUUUGGACACUCGUGAACAGGUGGUGCAUGGUUGUCGUCAGCUCGUGUCGUGAGAUGUUGGGUUAAGUCCCGCAACGAGCGCAACCCUCGUUCUAUGUUGCCAGCACGUAAUGGUGGGAACUCAUGGGAUACUGCCGGGGUCAACUCGGAGGAAGGUGGGGAUGACGUCAAAUCAUCAUGCCCCUUAUGUCCAGGGCUUCACGCAUGCUACAAUGGCCGGUACAAAGGGCUGCGAUCCCGUAAGGGGGAGCGAAUCCCAAAAAGCCGGUCUCAGUUCGGAUUGGGGUCUGCAACUCGACCCCAUGAAGUCGGAGUCGCUAGUAAUCGCAGA
This 431-nucleotide ribosomal RNA is filed under the name uncultured Actinomycetes bacterium. RNAcentral's name for it is "bacterial SSU rRNA". It matches the Rfam family "Bacterial small subunit ribosomal RNA", at positions 917 to 1348 of the family's 1533-position model. The record is from RNAcentral. Lineage: Bacteria; Bacillati; Actinomycetota; Actinomycetes.